AGGACAAGCCAGAAUGGUCGCUCCGACAUAUCGUCGGAGAGGAAAGUCCGAGCUCCAGAGGGCAACGUAGCGGCUAAUUACCGCCUCCGCCAUGUUUUGUGGCGGAAGGAUCAGAGCUACAGUGACGAACAACCCAGCACUUAAAUUUUAAGUGCUGGGUGAAGUGAAACGAGCAAUCUCUACGUGGAGCAAGGCCGAAUAGGAAGAGAGAAGUGCCCCUUCGCCUUAAUCUUCGGGUUGGCUGCUUAAGUCCCGCGGUAACGUUGGACUUUAGAGAAAUGACCGUGAUUCCCGCCUAAAUAAUCGGGAGGAUACAGAACUCGGCUUAUUGGCUUGUCCGACUA
This 344-nucleotide RNase P RNA is filed under the name Candidatus Omnitrophota bacterium. RNAcentral's name for it is "RNase P RNA component class A". It matches the Rfam family "Bacterial RNase P class A". From Rfam's summary of the family: Ribonuclease P (RNase P) is a ubiquitous endoribonuclease, found in archaea, bacteria and eukarya as well as chloroplasts and mitochondria. Its best characterised activity is the generation of mature 5'-ends of tRNAs by cleaving the 5'-leader elements of precursor-tRNAs. Lineage: Bacteria; Pseudomonadati; Candidatus Omnitrophota. The record is from RNAcentral.